This 465-nucleotide ribosomal RNA is filed under the name uncultured bacterium. RNAcentral describes it as "partial 16S ribosomal RNA". It matches the Rfam family "Bacterial small subunit ribosomal RNA", at positions 338 to 795 of the family's 1533-position model. The record is from RNAcentral.
CCUACGGGUGGCAGCAGUGGGGAAUAUUGCGCAAUGUGCGAAAGCCUGACGCAGCGACGCCGCGUGAGGGCUGAAGGUCUUCGGAUCGUCAACCUCUGUCAGCAGGGAAGAACGGUCACUGUGCUAAUCAGCAGUGAAUUGACGGUACCUGCAAAGGAAGCACCGGCUAACUCCGUGCCAGCAGCCGCGGUAAUACCGAGGGUGCGAGCGUUAAUCGGAAUUACUGGGCGUAAAGCGCGCGUAGGCGGUAUGUCGAGUCACGGGUGAAAUCCCCGCGCUCAACGUGGGAACUGCCUUUGAAACUGGUCAACUGGAGGGUGUGAGAGGAUAGUGGAAUUCCAGGUGUAGGAGUGAAAUCCGUAGAUAUCUGGAGGAACAUCAGUGGAGAAGGCGACUAUCUGGCACAUAACUGACGCUGAGGAGCGAAAGCGUGGGUAGCAAACAGGAUUAGAUACCCGUGUAGUC